UCAGCAGUCCAAAAUAUUAGUCAAUGCUCGAAAGAGUGAACUAGCUAACUGAAUCAUAAUAAAAAUUGAUAACAUAAGGGAAAAUAAUGAUAUUACCUUAUUAUUAGUGUCGUCCAAAACUGGUGCCAGAAGACUCGGUAAGGCCAGAGACACAAACGUUAAUCGUCUUAAUCAGGCGUAAAGGGUUUGUAGGCGGCUUUAAAAUUUAUUUAUAAAAAAACAAAAAUAAUAAAUAAAGAAUAAAAGCUAGAAUCAAAUAGAGGAUAUAUUAAAUAAUGCUUAGAGUAGGUCUGAUAUCCUUAGAUACUAAGUAGAAUAUUAAAGGCGAAAGCUUUUUUCCAUUAAUGAUUGACGCUCAGAAACGAAGGUGAGGAUAGGAAAUAGGAUUAGAUACCCAAAUACCCCUCUCUGUCAACGAUGAAUGGUAGUUAUUAGUAAAAAUUUUAUUAAUGGCAAUGUUAACACGAUAACCAUUCCGCCUUGUGAGUACAACUGCAAAGUUGAAAACAAAAAAAUUAGUCGGUUUCGGAGCAAACGAAGUGAAGCAUGUUAUUUAAUUCGAUAAAUCCGCA
This 572-nucleotide ribosomal RNA is filed under the name Russula sp. RNAcentral's name for it is "SSU rRNA". It matches the Rfam family "Bacterial small subunit ribosomal RNA", at positions 348 to 965 of the family's 1533-position model. Lineage: Eukaryota; Fungi; Basidiomycota; Agaricomycetes; Russulales; Russulaceae. The record is from RNAcentral.